GGCUAACGCUGGCGGCGUGUCUUAGCCAUGCAAGUCGAGCGGACUUAUGGGGUAACUUAUAAGUCAGCGGCGGACGGCGGAGUAACACGUAGCUAACCUACCCUCUGGACGGGGAUAACCUACCGAAAGGUGGGCUAAUACCCGAUGUAGUCAUCCUGUAUAGGGGUGAUGAAAGGUGGGCUUCUGUUUACAAGCUCAUGCUGGAGGAGGGGGCUGCGGCCUAUCAGGUAGUUGGUAGGGUAAUAGCCUACCAAGCCGAUGACGGGUAGCCGGCCUGAGAGGGUGACCGGCCCGAGGGGCACUGAGAUACGGGUCCCACUCCUACGGGAGGCAGCAGGCUAGAAAUUUGGGCAAUGGGGGAAACCCUGACCCAGUGACGCCGCGUGCAGGAAGGAGCCCUUCGGGGUGUAAACUGCUGUCGUGUAGGGAGAAGGGUACUAAGGUGAACAAUCUUAGUACUUGACGGUACUACAGGAGGAAGCCCAGGCUAACCUCGUGCCAGCAGCCGCGGUAAAGAUACGUAGA
RNAcentral lists this ribosomal RNA (525 nucleotides) under uncultured bacterium. Its description in RNAcentral is "bacterial SSU rRNA". It matches the Rfam family "Bacterial small subunit ribosomal RNA", at positions 28 to 531 of the family's 1533-position model. The record is from RNAcentral.